AUACAUACCUGGCAGGGAGAUGCCAUGAUCAUGAAGAUGAUUUUCCCACAGCGAAGCUUAUUCAUUGCACUCCAGAUGUGCCCCUGCAAUUUCCUCAAAUAUGGGAGACUCAACUAUACAACCUGUGGUAGUGGGGGACUGUGUUCACACUUUCCCAUA
Small nuclear RNA from Jaculus jaculus (lesser Egyptian jerboa), 159 nucleotides. Its record names the gene U1. It matches the Rfam family "U1 spliceosomal RNA". Rfam says of the family: U1 is a small nuclear RNA (snRNA) component of the spliceosome (involved in pre-mRNA splicing). The record is from Ensembl. Lineage: Eukaryota; Metazoa; Chordata; Mammalia; Rodentia; Dipodidae.